This 1002-nucleotide ribosomal RNA is filed under the name Samsoniella antleroides. Its description in RNAcentral is "SSU rRNA". It matches the Rfam family "Eukaryotic small subunit ribosomal RNA", at positions 47 to 1060 of the family's 1831-position model. Lineage: Eukaryota; Fungi; Ascomycota; Sordariomycetes; Hypocreales; Cordycipitaceae. The record is from RNAcentral.
AGCCAUGCAUGUCUAAGUAUAAGCAAUUAUACAGCGAAACUGCGAAUGGCUCAUUAUAUAAGUUAUCGUUUAUUUGAUAGUACCUUACUACUUGGAUAACCGUGGUAAUUCUAGAGCUAAUACAUGCUAAAAAUCCCGACUUCGGAAGGGAUGUAUUUAUUAGAUUAAAAACCAAUGCCCUCUGGGCUCCUUGGUGAUUCAUAAUAACUUUUCGAAUCGCAUGGCCUUGCGCCGGCGAUGGUUCAUUCAAAUUUCUUCCCUAUCAACUUUCGAUGUUUGGGUAUUGGCCAAACAUGGUCGCAACGGGUAACGGAGGGUUAGGGCUCGACCCCGGAGAAGGAGCCUGAGAAACGGCUACUACAUCCAAGGAAGGCAGCAGGCGCGCAAAUUACCCAAUCCCGAUUCGGGGAGGUAGUGACAAUAAAUACUGAUACAGGGCUCUUUUGGGUCUUGUAAUUGGAAUGAGUACAAUUUAAAUCCCUUAACGAGGAACAAUUGGAGGGCAAGUCUGGUGCCAGCAGCCGCGGUAAUUCCAGCUCCAAUAGCGUAUAUUAAAGUUGUUGUGGUUAAAAAGCUCGUAGUUGAACCUUGGGCCUGGCUGGCCGGUCCGCCUCACCGCGUGUACUGGUCCGGCCGGGCCUUUCCCUCUGUGGAACCUCAUGCCCUUCACUGGGUGUGGCGGGGAAACAGGACUUUUACUUUGAAAAAAUUAGAGUGCUCCAGGCAGGCCUAUGCUCGAAUACAUUAGCAUGGAAUAAUGAAAUAGGACGUGUGGUUCUAUUUUGUUGGUUUCUAGGACCGCCGUAAUGAUUAAUAGGGACAGUCGGGGGCAUCAGUAUUCAAUUGUCAGAGGUGAAAUUCUUGGAUUUAUUGAAGACUAACUACUGCGAAAGCAUUUGCCAAGGAUGUUUUCAUUAAUCAGGAACGAAAGUUAGGGGAUCGAAGACGAUCAGAUACCGUCGUAGUCUUAACCAUAAACUAUGCCGACUAGGGAUCGGACGA